UUUGUGGUUAYGGAUUAAUGAUAAAAAAACAUUUCUUAUUAUUUGAAUUUUCGCGGGCAACACAUUGCUGAGGAAAAAWUCAAGAUGGCUGCCGUGUCGUGUACUACCACGUGCACUAUUAAAUAUUUAAUUAAAGAAAUGCAAUAGUGAURCAAUCAUAAUCAAAAGAAUAAUAUUUUGUAUUUAGAAUAAUUCUUUUCAUAUUCUCUUCUCUUUUUAGUGAUUAGUGAUUGCCAAUUMUGGAUGAAAAUAGUUACAAAUGGGAUGUAUUGGUGUGUGUGGUACAAUAGUAUUACGUCAUAACCAAAGGAAAAUAAUUUUCUUUAUUAAAUCCGAGUAUAUAUAGAUGAAUUCAGGAUGUUCUCAUUAUAUCAAUUUAUUUUAACAAAUAUUAGUUACUACUAAGCAAAACAAUUUUACAUGCAAUCUCAUACAUCAAUUUUCCACGCAAACCAAUGACACCAUCCAAAAGGAGAGACUCCACACGAUCAUGAGGGUUUUUUAAACCAUCACUUCAACUUUCCACGCAAUCCAAUGACUCCAUCCAUAAUCAAAUAUCCCAUACAGUCAUGAGGGUUUUUUUUAACCAUCACUUCAAUUCUGCACGCAAUUCCAAUUUAAUGCAUUCUGUGUUCUUAUGAUACUUGCACUACGAGAAAAUAAUAUAUGUAUAUAGUGUAAUAUUUUAUCAAAAGAAUACGAGAAGAAAUGUAUAUYUUAGUUAUCAUCACAAGAUAUAUGGAUAACACACGUGGCAAAUACAUUAUUAUAUUUCCGACAUUCAA
Polistes dominula (European paper wasp) is the source of this 785-nucleotide long non-coding RNA. NCBI's taxonomy places the organism in Eukaryota, Metazoa, Arthropoda, Insecta, Hymenoptera, Vespidae. The record is from RefSeq and is a predicted model, not a curated record.